Long non-coding RNA from Dromaius novaehollandiae (emu), 4141 nucleotides. RefSeq lists it as uncharacterized. The transcript is spliced from 3 exons. The record is from RefSeq and is a predicted model, not a curated record. NCBI's taxonomy places the organism in Eukaryota, Metazoa, Chordata, Aves, Casuariiformes, Dromaiidae.
AAACCUGCGCAGGGGUGACCCAGGCGUAGAAUGAGGACAUCGGCAUGUUUAACUCAGCUGGAUGGGGCAGUGCCAUAUAAAGUCAGGGUUGGUUUCUGUCUCUGUCCUGACACAGCUUCCUCUCACUCAAAGCCACAGAAGAUGAACUGCUUUGACCUGGUUUUUGCUGAUAACAGCACACAGCACAAUGAUGGAGAAAAAUACGCACUUGAAGAAUGAACAUGCCACACGCUUCCUGCAGAGAAGAAAGAGCAGCACAUCUGAUGGAUGUUGAUCACUUAUUACUGGAUGGACGGAUGAUGUACAGGAAUGUACAGUAAUAUCUGACAUUAAUGAUCAUAGAACUGCAGCCACAAGUUCUCAUAAAGAAAUAGUCUUCAUCCAGAAGAGAUUGCUAUAGGGAUUUGUGCCAGUGAUAUCCUGCAAUGUGAAGACUCACUGUAAAAUUACCUACUGACAAGAGGUAAACAAAGAGAGGAGACACAAUAAAUUACAGGAAUCACUCACAUCUCAUGGUCAAAAGGCCGGUCAAAAGACAGAUGUCACUUUUGGUACCCAAGUGGACUGAAUGAGCUUUCCAGAAGUGUCUCAGCACUGCUGACAGUAAUUUAUCUCUGUGAGUCUGGUGACUAUUGUAUCUCUCAUGCUAUUGGGCUGCCACUUGCCACCACUACUUUCAAAAGAAGCUGAUUUGAUACAGACUUGUGAGGGUGCAUGUUCUCAUAGACAUACUUACAUGCCUUGUGCAUAAGCAAGGCAAGAGACUUCCAAAGGCUGUGCCUCUUUGGAUGAACUGGGUAGUAUUGUGGGCUCACUGAAGUUGCAGUCGGGGUAUGAGUAGUCUACAAAAUACAUGCACUCUUCCCAUCUGUUAGAUCUUACCAGAAUGCUACAGAACGUCCAGAAACACUUGCUGUCCUGUAAACCUGUGAUUUAAAUGGAGAAGUGUACUGGAAAGGCUGUGAAAUUCCACCUCUAGCUUUAUAAUAGAAACGCCCACAUUCACUCAAGAGCAGUGGUACUGCGGUUUGAAGUCUUCAGAUUUCUUAUGCAUGCUGUGGCAUUUCCCUUAAAUUUAAUGGCAUUAAUCCUACUCUGGGAUUGCCUUGGCUUGUUGCUGGGAUGCUCUUCUGCCCAGAUUUUGCUACAGUUGAACAAAUGAAUACUUUGUGGUAUGCAAAGCUUGCCAUUAUUUGGUAUUAUUUUUGCUUGGUAUUAUUUUUGCUAUGAUGUGGUUCAUCUUAAAUUCCAUAACCACUUCUCUCUUUCUUUUUUGUGUUACUUUCUAUGUACUGCGAGCCCGUCUGCAUUCAGUCGAAUGAGUGGGAACUGUGGGCAUGCAACAGUACCUGAUCCCUUCUAUUACAUAAUUAAAUUGCUAUAAUGUAUAUGACUUAGGAAUAUGUCUGAACAAGUUGCUAUGAAUCAUACAUUUUUCAGCCUGAAACUGCCCUCUUUAGCUUUUAUUAAUCAUUUCACUGUUCCUGCAUUUUGAAGGAAAGCUUCCCCUUUCCCAGACUCUGAAGAAAAAAAAGAUGGCAAGGGUGAGGCACAUUUUGAUCUCUGUUAUUCUAGUGAAAUAUAAACAUAGGCUGAAUUACACCACAUGCAGUUGAGAUCAGAAUCUGGCACAGUGUCUCUGUACCCCAUAAUAAUAAUAAGUUUCUGCAGUCCCUACUGAACUGUUGGUACCAGCAAGCAAUUAGAGGGGCAAUUGUUAAAAUUUGACAUUUCAAAUUUUUUUGGCAUAGAACUGCAGGGCAAGUAGAUGCUCUUUUAAAAAUGAGUUCCUAAAUCUAUCAGUUUCUCAUCCUACCAGUUGCUACUUUAUCAAAAAAAACAAAAGUCCUGUUCUGAACAAUUCUCUUUUGUCUUUAGGAGGAUCCUGAUCUGGGGCCUGAUCUUUAUCAAGAGCUAUGUCUGAUUAGGGAGCAAGGAUACUGCCAAAACCAUUGCAGAUAUUUGGCUAGAAAGAAAUUCAAGAAGUCAGUGGUAAAGGAAAAAAAAGACCAAUGUCUGUUUAUUUACUCUGUGUAAAUCUUUUUUUUCACUGGAGUUCAUCUGGCUUUCAGCAUGUAGCUCAGAGUACAACUUGGCACUCAAGUGUCUGAGGUUUUGCAGUCCAGUUUGAGUUUACAGUAAGUAAAACUGGGUAGCUGAAUUGGUGUGUCUGGAGAGCAGAAGCAAAAUGAGUCAAAAGUAACAUACUGCUAGAUUAAAGAAAUCUGGUGAGAAGAAUAACUGUUACAGCACAGGCAGUGUUUGAUGAGGACCAUGUCCGAUGGGCUCCUAUGCUGAUGCAAUGUGUGCCUGGGGCGCUGCCCUGCCUAGUCAUCGUGACGUUCUCCAGCAAGGUCUCAUUUCUACAGUUUGGCACCAGCCAGUAAGUCGCUUGGUUGAAUUGCCCACCCUCUGUGUCUUAGUGGUGUGUGGCUGGUUCUCUGGAAAAGGUCAGCGUCAAGGGGCUACAUGUGUUUGAGACUAGAAGCUUGCUUUACUGUAGAUUAUUUUGGUGAUUCACCCUUUUCUCUUUAUUUCUACACUAUUUCUGCUGUGGCAAGUGACAGCACAGUGGUUGCAUCUAAAGGACAUCUUUUUACUGUGCGGAAUUUGAUACUGAAUGAAUAAUUGAAGUAGUGCAAUGUAUUUAAGAGUCAGGCUUGCAGAAUCACUGCUGUAGUGAAGGGGCUGACUGCAAUACAAAGGAAAUGCAGACUACAAUCCUGCCCUGUAUAUGUGCAAGGCAUUGAAUGCACAUGCUUUGAUGAGAAUUUAGUAUCUUGCAGAAAGUACUUAAGGCCCUGUGUAUAUGGGUCCAGCCUCCUUUCCUAUGUAGCAGCAUGGAGACUGCAUCAAAUGAAUAGUGGCUGCCAUGUCAUUUCUUCUGAUUUCACUAAGCAGAAAGAAGUAGCAGUUUGGAAGGGGAAGGCAGUCUUUAUCAUGCAAAUUAAGUACUCACAUUCAUCCAUGCAGUGACUUUCUUGACACCGUCUGGAAUCUUCCUGCAGCUUUUCUUUUCCGAUUAGCAGAUUCACCAGUGGUAUUUCUUGUCCCUUCUUAGUACUGGCAUCUAGCAUGAUCUGCUAUGUUUUACAUUUCAUUCAGAGACUAUAUUAAUUGCACAAUGGUUCUAUUUAUAAAAGAUCUAUUAGAGAUCACAAUUAGAAAAGUAUAGGUGGUGUGAAAAAGAGCAAUCACCCUUUGCACUCAGUGGUAAUGACAACGAUAUUUCCCUCUUCUACAGUAUAAAGUUCCGAUCCAAUGGUUGUAGAGCACCUUAUAAGCGUUAAGGCCAAAUGUAAUGCCCUGACUUUUAGACUGUCUUUACUGGAAAAUCAAAAUAGAAAAUGUUCUUACCUGCAUAGCUAAGUAAAGCUGCCCAGUGCCCAGUGUAAAAAGCUAGUGGAGACAGGGCAGGGUUGUACCCUGAGAUAAUUAAUGAAAGGAAACCUCAGUUGGAAGCUGCUGGUGGGAAUGCUCCUCCCCAACUACACAGGAGUAAAAGAGACCUGUAUCUUGCCUCCCAGCGAUUUUCCAGCUUAAUAUAGCUGCUUUGACAUACAUGCUACACGACACCCUAACCCUCUUUGUCUUUAGCCAAAACUGAGGGUGCUCAUCACUUUCCAACUCAUCAAGCUCUGGAGAACAAAAUUUAUAAGGUGUCCAAGCAUCUAAUGGCUGAAGAUGCUCCGUACCAUAGGAAAUGUGGCUCGAGGUGGCCCAGCAGGUCAGUGGCAUGAACGGGAAGACAGGAAGACGACCCGGAGGUCAGUCCUGCCUCCCAGUCCCAUACACAGUCCGCGCACCAACUCCAUUGCUUUCUCACCCACUGCAAGAGUGAUUGCUUAGACAUUUGCUACAUACAACAGUUUGCCCUGUGAAUUGUAACACUUUAAAACUAUAACGAGAACUGUAGGUUUUUUGUACCAAAUGAGGAAUUUCUUCUGUACAGCUUCUUCAAGCUAUUUCAACAAGUCCUUGGUGUAAUUCCAAACGUAUGCAAAAUCACACAAAAUGCAAGACUGACCUUAGAUGAAAGAAAUUCCUGUUUCAGCAAAGCCCACUUCAUUCUAUCAUUUGAACAUAAGGACCUGUUACAGGUUUGUCUUUGUGACUGUAAAAAUAAAGAUGAUGAAUAGCA